This 246-nucleotide long non-coding RNA is filed under the name Lathyrus oleraceus (garden pea). RNAcentral describes it as "Pisum sativum (pea) long non-coding RNA (PSAT_LNC011290)". Lineage: Eukaryota; Viridiplantae; Streptophyta; Magnoliopsida; Fabales; Fabaceae. The record is from RNAcentral.
UCUCUCAAACCAUUUGGCCAAAUUUGGUGGGGUUUUUUCCAACAAGUCACAUUUGAUGCCCUCUUUCCAAAAAUGUCACCAUCAUGCACCAAAACAUUACCAAUCAAAAUGGCCUUUUUGGACUUGCAUGAAUUAAUUUCAAGUGUGGUGCAAAAGUGAAAUUUUGAAUUAACCACUUCCAGCCAUUUUUGCCAAUUGAAUAAGUUCUGAAAUCAUGUUUUGGUCAUGUUUGAAGCCCAAUUUUCG